UACGUAGGGUGCAAGCGUUGUCCGGAAUUAUUGGGCGUAAAGAGCUCGUAGGCGGUUUGUUGCGUCGGCUGUGAAAUCCCGAGGCUCAACCUCGGGUCUGCAGUCGAUACGAGCAAACUAGAGUGUUGCAGGGGAGACUGGAAUUCCUGGUGUAGCGGUGAAAUGCGCAGAUAUCAGGAGGAACACCGGUGGCGAAGGCGGGUCUCUGGGCCGUAACUGACGCUGAGGAUCGAAAGCGUGGGGAGCGAACAGG
Molecule: ribosomal RNA, 253 nt
Filed under: uncultured bacterium
Lineage: Bacteria
Description: partial 16S ribosomal RNA
Rfam family: Bacterial small subunit ribosomal RNA
Source: RNAcentral